This 1326-nucleotide ribosomal RNA is filed under the name Triticum aestivum (bread wheat). Its description in RNAcentral is "partial small subunit ribosomal RNA". Lineage: Eukaryota; Viridiplantae; Streptophyta; Magnoliopsida; Poales; Poaceae. The record is from RNAcentral.
AUGGCGAGCAUGUCGCCACCGCCUGCUUAUUCCUCCGGGGCCAGGGACGACACGGAAGUGUUGUCCCGGAGGGCCGCUCCAAACCGGGGAGGAGCCCAGGACGCUGUUCGGGAGGCGCCACAAUGCAAGACCUCCAUUGCCAGACACAUGGGGGAUCCGAUCCCCAUGGAGAUUGGCGAAGAGGGCCGCAUCCAGUUCGGCCCUCAGCCGAAUAUGAUUUCGGAGACCCAUAUAGCUCCGGAGUCGGGCGAGCAGCCCCCUUUGAAGGAGGGGGGUGCGCCGCUUCCAUCGGUGGCCCCUAUCCAUCCAGGGACGCGAGAUAACCUGAUGGAGGCGCUACGAGGCGCCUCCGUUAUGGACGAGCACCGUGUCCUUAUGGGUGCGGUGAUCGAGAAGGUUCAGUCCGCCAAGAGUGGACUGAACGAAGCCUGCAGCAACCUGUUGAAAGGUUUCGAGGCGUUGUUGUUGGCCGCAACCUCGCAUGCUGCCAAAGUCUCUGAACUGAGGCAGAGGCUGGAGCGGACCGAGAGCGAGCUCGGCGAGGUUAAGGUUCGGCUCCAGGAGAAGCAAGGAGCCGCGACCGAGGUCAAGGCCCUGAGGAAGUCCCUGGGCGAGGCCGAGGAGAAGGUUGUCCAGGAGCAAGCCGAUCGUAAGAAGCUCAAGGCCCGGGUCAAAGAAGUCCAGCAGGAGCUCCAGGAUGCGGUGAAGAAAUGCAAGGCCUUGGAGCAUGAUGUGUCGGUUCAAGGGACCGAACUCGCCAAGGCUCGUCAGAGCGCGGAGGCCGCACAGAAUGAGGCCCAGGCCGCCCUCCAGGAGAUCCAGGAGGCCAAGAAGAUCGCGGCGGGGGCUUUUGCGGAUUCACCACGCAGCGUAUCGGACGCUGUGGAGUUCUACCGAGACGAAGGAGGGGGUUCUACGGAGAAGCUAUUCUGGUUGCAAUAUGCGGUGCCAGAGCCUCCCAUGUCCUUCACAGAUCAGCUGAAACAGCUGGUGGAGCUGCAUAGGGUGGCCGAACUAGCCAUGAAGGAUUUGAUAAUCCGGCUAUGGCCUGCCGAAGCUAUCCCUGGCAGCUACUUCGGACUCGUGAGGCGAAUGGUGAACGCCUGUCCUCGGCUGGACGUCGUCAAGCGCUCUGCCUGUAUUGAAGGUGCCCGCAUGGCCUUUGCCCGUUGCAAGAUGUGGUGGGCGAAGAUGAACGCCGUUGAAGUGGCCAGAGGGCCGCCAGAGGGCAAGGAGCAUCGCACACCCGAGCGAUAUUUUGCGGAUGUCAUAGAAGGGUCUCGGCUUGCAGCAGCUGAGUGCGGGCAGGACAUUAUUUUCGAAUGA